GCAGGAUGCAGCAGUUAUUUAUUUACAUUUUUCAGCGUCAUAAAUCUCCAUAUAUCUCUAGCUCCAAGGAGAUGUGUACAACUCUCCUACAAGACAGACUCCAACUGGUAGAAAUAGCAGAUUUCUCACAGACAAAUAUCACUAGGUUGAUACGUUUAGUUCACAUACUCAAACAGACUAAAUAUCACUAGGUUGAUACGUUUAGUUCACAAACUCAAACAGACUAAAUAUCACUAGGUUGAUACGUUUAGUUCACAUACUCAAACAGACUAAAUAUCACUAGGUUGAUACGUUUAGUUCACAUACUCAAACAGACUAAAUAUCAUUAGGUUGAUACGUUUAGUUCACAUACUCAAACAGACUAAAUAUCACUAGGUUGAUACGUUUAGUUCACAUACUCAAACAGACUAAAUAUCACUAGGUUGAUACGUUUAGUUCACAUACUCAAACAGACUAAAUAUCACUAGGUUGAUACGUUUAGUUCACAUACUCAAACAGACUAAAUAUCACUAC
RNAcentral lists this long non-coding RNA (513 nucleotides) under Salmo salar (Atlantic salmon). RNAcentral describes it as "lncRNA (ENSSSAG00000082313.1, ENSSSAG00000086940.1)". The record is from RNAcentral. Lineage: Eukaryota; Metazoa; Chordata; Actinopteri; Salmoniformes; Salmonidae.